GUUGAAUGGUUUUUGACCAAAAUGCUGAUAGUGAUGUUGACAAUGAAGUCCAGGCUGAGGUCUCAGAUGGGAAUGAGGAACUUCUUGGAAAGUGGAGCAAAGGUGACUCUUGCUAUGCUUUAGCAAAGAGACUGGCAGCAUUUCCCCCCUGCCCUAGGGAUCUGUGGAACUUUGAACUUGAGAGAGAUGAUUUAGGGUAUCUGGCAGAAGAAAUUUCUAAGCAGCAAAGUAUUCA
Molecule: long non-coding RNA, 235 nt
Filed under: Homo sapiens (human)
Lineage: Eukaryota; Metazoa; Chordata; Mammalia; Primates; Hominidae
Description: LHRI_LNC1324.1
Source: RNAcentral